CGGCGGCAAAGAGUGCCUCACCCCGCGUAACCCGGCGGGAGCGCGCGGCGGGAACCGCUCCGCAGGCAUCACCUCACGGCCCCGCGGGUCGGGCGCCUCCGUCCUCACACCGGCGCCUGCGGGAGCCCAGGUGGAGGCCAAACUCGAGUUCCAACCCCCUCCCCGUGCAUGCAAACGGCUUUUAACGCCGCUUACGUUACCCUUCAGCCGCCUCAGCCCCACCUGCGGGAGGACGAAGCUGAGGGGCCGCCGGGAGAGGCGCGAGGCCCUGUGAGGCGGCUGCCCCCGGCGCGACGCUGUGAGGAAGCACGGCAGGCAAUUAGCAUGCACAUGGAAGUUAAAUUACUGAUCUGGGAAAAUAAUCAAGAAAUCAGCUGAGUUGAGGAGAACACGAACAUGUAGCUGCAAGGAACCAGGAUCUGAGGAGUACAACUUGCACACCACUUAGCCAGCGUUCCUGCCUGGGUAAGCAGAAUGCACAGCCCUGGGAACAAUUUUCAGAAGGAUGUUAAGGGCCCCACUUAUCGAAAUCGACACCCAAGAGACAGAAUCCUGUCACCCAUCCUACUCCACACAGCUCUAACUCAGACAGCCUACUUCACUCCAGGUGCCUCACUGUUUUCUUCUCUCCUUCCUUCCCUCCAGCAUACCUAGGAAGUCAAUCAAAACAGGUAAACCUUUCUCAGAGGACUGGCAUGCUUCCCAGUCCUUAUCACCACUGUCCUCCUAUUGGGGAUUUCAAACAAUAUUAAUGGUGGCAUAAGCUGAGCUAUCACAGCUUUUAAAGGAGAAAGUGUCAG
RNAcentral lists this long non-coding RNA (800 nucleotides) under Gallus gallus (chicken). RNAcentral describes it as "long non-coding RNA NONGGAT003529". Lineage: Eukaryota; Metazoa; Chordata; Aves; Galliformes; Phasianidae. The record is from RNAcentral.